GGACCCAUAGCUUAGACUGGCUGGAGCGCCCGGCUGAUAACCGGGAGGUCGUGCGUUCAAAUCGCAUUGGGUCCA
RNAcentral lists this transfer RNA (75 nucleotides) under Candidatus Methanoplasma sp. Its description in RNAcentral is "tRNA-Ile". It matches the Rfam family "tRNA". Rfam says of the family: Transfer RNA (tRNA) molecules are approximately 80 nucleotides in length. Their secondary structure includes four short double-helical elements and three loops (D, anti-codon, and T loops). RNAcentral also lists the same sequence under 1 other name. Lineage: Archaea; Methanobacteriati; Thermoplasmatota; Thermoplasmata; Methanomassiliicoccales; Methanomassiliicoccaceae. The record is from RNAcentral.